This 421-nucleotide ribosomal RNA is filed under the name uncultured bacterium. RNAcentral describes it as "bacterial SSU rRNA". It matches the Rfam family "Bacterial small subunit ribosomal RNA", at positions 355 to 774 of the family's 1533-position model. The record is from RNAcentral.
UAAGGAAUAUUGGUCAAUGGACGCAAGUCUGAACCAGCCAUGCCGCGUGAAGGAUGAAGGUCCUCUGGAUUGUAAACUUCUUUUAUCUGGGACGAAAACGGGAUUUUUAUCUCAAUUGACGGUACCAGAGGAAUAAGCACCGGCUAACUCCGUGCCAGCAGCCGCGGUAAUACGGAGGGUGCGAGCGUUAUCCGGAUUUACUGGGUUUAAAGGGUGCGUAGGUGGGCUUAUAAGUCAGUGGUGAAAUCUCCGAGCUUAACUUGGAAACUGCCGUUGNUACUAUAGGUCUUGAAUUAUCUGGAGGUAAGCGGAAUAUGUCAUGUAGCGGUGAAAUGCUUAGAUAUGACAUAGAACACCAAUUGCGAAGGCAGCUUACUACAUAUAAAUUGACGCCGAGGCACGAAAGCGUGGGGAUCAAACA